AAUUUCUCAAGCUUGGAUGGCUUUUUUGUCUGUCUUAGCCUUGGUUGUUGGGCUUUGCCGUGCCCUUCAUUGGGACGGCUGGCCUUAAAGGUAUUAGCUGAUCCUCGUGUGGCACUGGUUCUACUCAGCGUGAUAACAGUCUGAUCGCUGAGGACAUCUUUUGGGAUGGCCAGUCCUCAUUUUGGGUUGCUUCUAAACUUGGUUUUGCAGAUUCUUCAAUCUGUGGUUCCACUUUUCAA
This 239-nucleotide unclassified non-coding RNA is filed under the name uncultured Clavulina. RNAcentral describes it as "sequence contains ITS2". The record is from RNAcentral. Lineage: Eukaryota; Fungi; Basidiomycota; Agaricomycetes; Cantharellales; Hydnaceae.